UACGGGGGGGGCAAGCGUUGUUCGGAAUCACUGGGCGUAAAGCGCACGUAGGCGGCUCCUUAAGUCAGGGGUGAAAUCCUGGAGCUCAACUCCAGAACUGCCCUUGAUACUGAGGAGCUCGAGUCCGGAAGAGGUGAGUGGAACUGCGAGUGUAGAGGUGAAAUUCGUAGAUAUUCGCAAGAACACCAGUGGCGAAGGCGGCUCACUGGUCCGGUACUGACGCUGAGGUGCGAAAGCGUGGGGAGCAAACAGG
This 253-nucleotide ribosomal RNA is filed under the name uncultured bacterium. RNAcentral describes it as "partial 16S ribosomal RNA". It matches the Rfam family "Bacterial small subunit ribosomal RNA", at positions 524 to 776 of the family's 1533-position model. The record is from RNAcentral.